RNAcentral lists this ribosomal RNA (253 nucleotides) under uncultured bacterium. RNAcentral describes it as "partial 16S ribosomal RNA". It matches the Rfam family "Bacterial small subunit ribosomal RNA", at positions 524 to 776 of the family's 1533-position model. The record is from RNAcentral.
UACGAAGGGGGCUAGCGUUGCUCGGAAUCACUGGGCGUAAAGCGCACGUAGGCGGUUUGUUAAGUCGGGGGUGAAAUCCUGGAGCUCAACUCCAGAACUGCCUUCGAUACUGGCGAUCUUGAGUCCGGGAGAGGUGAGUGGAACUCCGAGUGUAGAGGUGAAAUUCGUAGAUAUUCGGAAGAACACCAGUGGCGAAGGCGGCUCACUGGCCCGGUACUGACGCUGAGACGCGAAAGCGUGGGGAGCAAACAGG